CUAGUAAUACAGUCUAUGGGCAGCUGAAGAGUCUGGCUCAUUUUCAAAUAAUGUUACCGUUAACUUUUUGAGCCAACGGUCACGGUAGCGAUUUUUUUUAACAUUAAUGUUAACGCCUUAAUGCGUUUUCAGAAGUUUCUCGGAGGGAAAAUGUAAAAGCGGAUUAUUAAAGAGAAGUCCUGACUGCUUUUUCACCGUGUUUUUCACUCUUUUACAGGCUUUCAGAAAUAAUCCGGUGAAAUAAUAUGGUGAGCUAUUGGUGCUGUUGCUUCUGAACUACAAAAUGAUUUUUAAAUUUAUUAUUGAAUGAGACUGUACAUUAUAAAUGUAAUGCUUUAACUCUAGAUGUUUGUUUGUGUGAAUGCUGUGUGUGCGUUGAGUCCUGCGCGAGCGGGGAGCAGAGUUGCCAUGGAAACGGGGCAUCAACACAAAAACCGUUACUGGCAUCGUCCAGACUGCACUCUGGGAUACUUGAGCAGUUAUCUCCGUCUCUCGCUGCAGUUUACACUGUUUUGGAAACAGUUUAGUGUCUUCGGAAAUGUCCGUUAUCAUUUUAGCAGUUUUCAGGUAGGCUAACUAUAUAGAUUGAGCUCUUGUUGAUGAAACUCUGGGCUUUUAAUCAAAUCUUCGAUUUGAUUAAAACAAAAUGAUUUUUAAAUUAAUUAUUGAAUGAUUAUUGAAUGAGACUGUACUUUAUAAAUGUAAUGUUUUAACUCUAGAUGUUUGUUUGUGUAAAUGCUGUGUGCGCGUUGAGUCCUGCGCGAGCGGGGAGCAGAGUUGCCAUGGAAACGGGGCGUCAACACAAAAACCGUUACUGGCAAGCGGUAAUCUCCGUCUCUCGCUGCAGUUUACACUGUUUUGGAAACGGUUUAGUUUCUUCGAAAAAGUCCGUUAGCAUCUUAGCAGUUUUCAGGAGGACAGAAAGAAACUCUACAGAACAGAAGUGAAGCUCCAAGAUUUCAACAUUUCUGAAGGGAGAUUCUGACUUAGAAAUACAGGUGACCUGAAGAAGCUCAUGAAAAACAUGAAUAUGCCUUUUUCAGAAUACAUUUCACCAAUUUUAAGAAGUCCCUGACAUCAUGACCUUGUUUCCUUCUAAUGAACCUGGAACUGCAGAGUAAAUAUUGUUGACUCUGUGUCAGAUUGCUUGUUUUGUUCCUGGAUUCUUCAGUGAUGACGAUCAGAGUCUGAGUGAACCUGCUGUCAGACAGGUUGGCCUGAUUGACGAUGUCAUCGUCCAUCGCCGAUAGCUGAUAGACAUCACGAUGCUGCGCUGGCAAACAGCGUCAUCAGCUGCAGUAUCUCGCGCGUGCAUCUGUUGUCAUGCGACAGAGAAGUCACGUUCUAUAGACAGUUUCUAUAGACAGUUGUGAACGUGCUGACAGCUGGUUGCCCAGGCUAUGGAUUAAAGGUAAUACUGUUGGCCAGCAGAGCCCUGCUCACCCUGUCGGCCCACCGCUGCUGUCAGACAACAUCUCCAAGAUGCUAUAAACUGCAGGACUA
Carassius gibelio (silver crucian carp) is the source of this 1503-nucleotide long non-coding RNA. RefSeq lists it as uncharacterized. Lineage: Eukaryota; Metazoa; Chordata; Actinopteri; Cypriniformes; Cyprinidae. The record is from RefSeq and is a predicted model, not a curated record. The transcript is spliced from 7 exons.